RNAcentral lists this ribosomal RNA (436 nucleotides) under uncultured Oscillospiraceae bacterium. Its description in RNAcentral is "bacterial SSU rRNA". It matches the Rfam family "Bacterial small subunit ribosomal RNA", at positions 341 to 792 of the family's 1533-position model. Lineage: Bacteria; Bacillati; Bacillota; Clostridia; Eubacteriales; Oscillospiraceae. The record is from RNAcentral.
ACGGGAGGCAGCAGUGGGGAAUAUUGGGCAAUGGGCGAAAGCCUGACCCAGCGACGCCGCGUGAAGGAAGAAGGCCUUCGGGUUGUAAACUUCUGUAGACAGGGACGAAGAAAUGACGGUACCUGUAAAGUAAGCCACGGCUAACUACGUGCCAGCAGCCGCGGUAAUACGUAGGUGGCGAGCGUUAUCCGGAUUUACUGGGUGUAAAGGGUGUGUAGGCGGAGGAUCAAGUCAGAUGUGAAAAUUAUGGGCUCAACUCAUAACUUGCAUUUGAAACUGAUCUCCUUGAGUGUGGGAGAGGUAAAUGGAAUUCCCAGUGUAGCGGUGAAAUGCGUAGAUAUUGGGAGGAACACCAGUGGCGAAGGCGGUUUACUGGACCACAACUGACGCUGAGACACGAAAGCGUGGGGAGCAAACAGGAUUAGAUACCCUGGUA